CUCAAAUGUGGCCCGGAGUUUGCGGGCGGGUGGCUUGCUCGCAAACAUAUUAUUGUUUGAUGGACCGGAUCUGACCCUUUAACGUUAUUAGGGGUUGGAUACCAGGCGUGCAGCGCACAGCAGGGAGCAGGAUGAAUGCACGGCGCUGAAGUUAACUACGUGAUACAGUUCCUUUCCUUUAUGAUCGCCUGGUACAUGCUGAGAUCUUCAAACGGAGUAUGACAAGCCCAAAGGAAUGUCUCGCUUUCACAGCUCAAGAACUUAUAAGGACGUGAAAGAAUUCGCUUCACACCCUUGAGAGACCCAUCUACGUGUAUAUUGUCCUUAAACGUGAUAUUUCUAUCAAAAGAUCCAAUUUCGCAUACGUCUGUAACACGUGACGCGAAAAAAGCCAGGGCUGACAAAGACUUCAAAGUUUGCAAGUAUGUAUGUUAUUCAUUAUUUCUUGACUUCGUUGCUUUUUAAAAAAAAAUCCGCUUGACUUCUCACUUGAUGUUAAGUGAUGAUGGAGUCACUCGUCGUUAACGUAGUAUCGCGUUAACUUGAAAAGAAUACCUUUA
Molecule: long non-coding RNA, 560 nt
Organism: Bicyclus anynana (squinting bush brown)
Lineage: Eukaryota; Metazoa; Arthropoda; Insecta; Lepidoptera; Nymphalidae
Exons: 3
Source: RefSeq, a predicted model, not a curated record